UCUGGAUCGAUCACCAUCCUCAUGAUGAUUCUAUGAUUGAAAGUAUUUAGGAAUUAAAUACAUGUCUCUAAUUUUCAACUCUUUGAGAAUAUGUAUCGAAAGCUAAUUCCAUGGACGAUUCAAAGACACAUCAUACUUGAAUGAAAAAUAAACUUAUCCUUUUAUUGAUCAUAUCAAUGUAUUAAGAACAAAAUUGUGUCCUAGAUUUAUUACAAUGUGUUAGCCAUAUUGACUU
This 235-nucleotide long non-coding RNA is filed under the name Elaeis guineensis (African oil palm). RNAcentral's name for it is "long non-coding RNA (EGUI_LNC018082)". Lineage: Eukaryota; Viridiplantae; Streptophyta; Magnoliopsida; Arecales; Arecaceae. The record is from RNAcentral.